This 484-nucleotide ribosomal RNA is filed under the name uncultured bacterium. Its description in RNAcentral is "partial 16S ribosomal RNA". It matches the Rfam family "Bacterial small subunit ribosomal RNA", at positions 28 to 507 of the family's 1533-position model. The record is from RNAcentral.
AUUGAACGCUGGCGGCAUGCUUUACACAUGCAAGUCGAACGGCAGCGCGGGCUUCGGCCUGGCGGCGAUUGGCGAACGGGUGAGUAAUGCAUCGGAACGUGCCCAGUAGUGGGGCAUAGCCCGGCGAAAGCCGGAUUAAUACCGCAUACGACCUGAGGGUGAAAGCGGGGGACCGAAAGGUCUCUCGCUAUUGGAGCGGCCGAUGUCGGUUUAGCUAGUUGGUGGGGUAGAGGCUUACCAAGGCGACGAUCCGUAGCUGGUCUGAGAGGACGACCAGCCACACUGGGACUGAGACACGGCCCAGACUCCUACGGGAGGCAGCAGUGGGGAAUUUUGGACAAUGGGGGCAACCCUGAUCCAGCCAUGCCGCGUGCGGGAAGAAGGCCUUAGGGUUGUAAACCGCUUUUGUUCGGGAAGAAAUACUCUGGGCUAAUACCCCGGGGGGAUGACGGUACCGGAAGAAUAAGCACCGGCUAACUACGUG